RNAcentral lists this transfer RNA (73 nucleotides) under Sphaerodactylus townsendi. Its description in RNAcentral is "tRNA-Gly". Lineage: Eukaryota; Metazoa; Chordata; Lepidosauria; Squamata; Sphaerodactylidae. The record is from RNAcentral.
AGGGAUCGUGGAUCAGCAGCAGAACGUUGACUUUCCAUGCAGAAGGUCCCAGGUUCGAUCCCCGGCAUCUCUA